Molecule: ribosomal RNA, 591 nt
Filed under: uncultured Burkholderia sp.
Lineage: Bacteria; Pseudomonadati; Pseudomonadota; Betaproteobacteria; Burkholderiales; Burkholderiaceae
Description: bacterial SSU rRNA
Rfam family: Bacterial small subunit ribosomal RNA
Source: RNAcentral
UCGGGUUGUAAAGCACUUUUGUCCGGAAAGAAAACUUCUGCCCUAAUACGGCGGGAGGAUGACGGUACCGGAAGAAUAAGCACCGGCUAACUACGUGCCAGCAGCGCGGUAAUCGUAGGGUGCGAGCGUUAAUCGGAAUUACUGAGCGUAAAGCGUGCGCAGGCGGUUCGUUAAGACAGAUGUGAAAUCCCCGGGCUUAACCUGGGAACUGCAUUUGUGACUGGCGAGCUAGAGUAUGGCAGAGGGGGGUAGAAUUCCACGUGUAGCAGUGAAAUGCGUAGAGAUGUGGAGGAAUACCGAUGGCGAAGGCAGCCCCCUGGGCCAAUACUGACGCUCAUGCACGAAAGCGUGGGGAGCAAACAGGAUUAGAUACCCUGGUAGUCCACGCCCUAAACGAUGUCAACUAGUUGUUGGGGAUUCAUUUCCUUAGUAACGUAGCUAACGCGUGAAGUUGACCGCCUGGGGAGUACGGUCGCAAGAUUAAAACUCAAAGGAAUUGACGGGGACCCGCACAAGCGGUGGAUGAAUGUGGAUUAAUUCGAUGCAACGCGAAAAACCUUACCUACCCUUGACAUGGUCGGAACCCUGCUG